This 2289-nucleotide long non-coding RNA is filed under the name Homo sapiens (human). RNAcentral describes it as "long non-coding RNA NONHSAT191379.1". Lineage: Eukaryota; Metazoa; Chordata; Mammalia; Primates; Hominidae. The record is from RNAcentral.
CGGGAAACGUCCAGAACCCCGAAAUGUGGAGAAAACAACCUUCUUUUCACGGGGGCGUGGCCCGCCGGUUGCAGUACGCGAAAUUGGCAAAAUGAUGUAAACAGGGAAGUUCGGCAGAUUUCAGUUCAUUGUAAACUUGCCAAGGGAUCCGCCCACAGACACGAGAGAGCUGCUUUGGGACAGUGAAUUACUCUUCUUUUGAGACGGUCUAAUGAUGCCUGGGUGGUGCCUUCGUAGGAUGGUCGUCACACCUGAACAAGGGGGUCCCUGGCCCCAGGCCCCAUGCUUUACUGGGCCCUGUUCUGUCCCUCUUCUGGCAUCAUCUCCCAUGGAGAAAAGAAUGUGUUGAAGCCAAGAAGAUGCUCCCCCCGCAAGAAUAUCAUCUCUGCUAGAACAGGGCCUUCCUGAGAGUGAAAAUUCAUGUUUGGGGACCUCUGUGGUUAAAAGGUGGGCAGGCUGGAGUGUAACGGCAUGAUCUCGGCUCACUGCACCCUCGACUUCCUGGAUUCAGGUGAUCCCCUCACCUCAGCCUCCCUAGUAGCUGGUGUGUCCGGAAUUGGUGGGUUCUUGGUCUCACUGACUUCAAGAAUGAAGCCGUGGACCCUCGCGGUGAGUGUUACAGUUCUUAAAGGUGGCGUGUCCGGAGUUUGUUCCUUCUGAUGUUCAGAUGUGUUCGGAGUUUCUUCCUUCUGGUGGGUUUGUGGUCUCGCUGGCUCAGGAGUGAAGCUGCAGACCUUCGCGGUGAGUGUUACAGCUCUUAAGGCAGCGCGUCUCAAGUUGUUCAUUCCUCCCGGGGGGUUCGUGGUCUCAUUGGCUUCAGCAGUGAAGCUGCAGACCUUCGUGGUGAGUGUUACAGCUCAUAAAGGCAGUGUGGACCCAAAGAGUGAGCAGCAGCAAGAUUUAUUGCAAAGAAAGACAAAGCUUCCACAGUAUGGAAGGGGACCCAAGCAGCUUGCCACUGCUGGCUCAGGCAGCCUGCUUUUAUUCUUUUAUCUGGCCCCACCCACAUCCUGCUGAUUGGUAGAGCCGAGUGGUCUGUUUUGACAGGGCGCUGAUUGGUGUGUUUACAAUCCCUGAGCUAGACACAAAGGUUCUCCACCUCCCCACCAGAGUAGCUAGAUACAGAGUGUCGAUUCGUGCAUUCACAAACCCUGAGCUAGACACAGGGUGCCGAUUGGUGCAUUUACAAUCCCUUAGCUAGACAUAAAGGUUCUGCAGGUCCCCACUAAACUCAGGAGCCCAGCUGGCGUCACCCAGUGGAUCCCGCACCUGGGCUGCAGGUGGAGCUGCCUGCCACUCCCAUGCCGUGCACCCGCACUCCUCAGCCCUUGGGUCGUCGAUGGGACUGGGCGCCGUAGAGCAGGGGGCGGUGCUUGUCGGGGAGGCUCCGGCAGCACAGCAGCCCACAGAGAGGGGGAGGCUCAGGCAUGGCGGGCUGCAGGUCCCGAGCCAUGCCCCGCAGGGAGGCAGCUAAGGCCGGUGAGAAAUCGAGCCCAGUGCCGGUGGGCGGCACUGCUCUGAGUACAGGGCCUCCACAGCCGCUGGCCCUGGUGCUAAGCCCCUCAUUGCAUGGGGCCGGCAGGGCCUGCCGGCUGCUCCGAGUGCGGGCCCGCCAAGCCCACGCACACCUGGAGCUCCAGCUGGCCCGGAAGUGCCCGCACAGCCCCUGUUCCCGCUCAUGCCUCUCCCUCCACACCUCCUUGCAAGCUGAGGGAGCCAGCUCCGGCCUUGGCCAGCCCAGAAAGGGGCUCCCACAGUGCAGCGGUGGGCUGAAGGGCUCCUCAAGUGCUGCCAAAGUGGGAGCCCAGGCAGAGGAGGUGCCGAGAGCGAGUGAGGCCUCUGAGGACUGCCAGCAUGCUGUCACCUCUCACUGGGACUACAGGUGAGCACCCACACACCCGGCUAAUUUUUUUUUUAUUUUUUGGUAGAGAUGGGGUCUCCCUAUGUUGCCCAAGCUCAUUUAGAACUCCUGGGCUCAAGCAAUCCACCUGCCUCAGCCUCCCCAAGUGCUAGGAUUAUAGGCAUGAGCUACCGCCCCCAGCCUCAAAGUUGUUUUUUAAAAAUGUAAUUAUCUAUUCCCUUUAAGGCACAUAAUUUUCUUAAUGAACCUCUACCCUACUAGGUGGGUAGGAGUUGGGUGAGACUUAAACUUGAAAUGAUAAUGCCUAAAGUUUGUGCGGUUUAAACCCCAGGGGUCCCCAUCACCUGGGCCAUAUUGGCUUCAAAUUGGCUAUAUUUGAAGAAUUGUCUUGGGCCACACAUAAAAUACGUUAACACUAAUGAUAGCUG